Molecule: ribosomal RNA, 252 nt
Filed under: uncultured Bacteroidales bacterium
Lineage: Bacteria; Pseudomonadati; Bacteroidota; Bacteroidia; Bacteroidales
Description: partial 16S ribosomal RNA
Rfam family: Bacterial small subunit ribosomal RNA
Source: RNAcentral
UACGGGGGAUGCGAGCGUUAUCCGGAUUUAUUGGGUUUAAAGGGUGCGCAGGCGGCGAGUUAAGUCAGCGGUAAAAUUUCGGGGCUCAACCCCGGCGAGCCGUUGAAACUGGCGGGCUGGAGUUGGAGAGAAGUAUGCGGAAUGCGUGGUGUAGCGGUGAAAUGCAUAGAUAUCACGCAGAACUCCGAUUGCGAAGGCAGCAUACCGGCGCUCAACUGACGCUCAUGCACGAAAGCGUGGGUAUCGAACAGG